RNAcentral lists this ribosomal RNA (269 nucleotides) under uncultured prokaryote. RNAcentral's name for it is "partial 16S ribosomal RNA". It matches the Rfam family "Bacterial small subunit ribosomal RNA", at positions 524 to 792 of the family's 1533-position model. The record is from RNAcentral.
UACGGAGGUUGCAAGCGUUGUUCGGAAUGACUGGGCGUAAAGGGAGCGCAGGCGGCCAAGUCAGUCUGAAGUGAAAGCCCGGGGCUUAACACCGGAAUAGCUUUGGAUACUGCCUGGCUUGAGUGUGCGAUAGGAAAGCGGAAUUCCAGGUGUAGCGGUGAAAUGCGUAGAUAUCUGGAGGAACACCGGUGGCGAAAGCGGCUUUCUGGCGCAUAACUGACGCUGAGGCUCGAAAGCGUGGGGAGCGAACGGGAUUAGAUACCCGGGUA